GAUGAACGCUGGCGGCGUGCUUAACACAUGCAAGUCGAACGAAACACCUUAUUUGAUUUUCUUCGGAACUGAAGAUUUGGUGAUUGAGUGGCGGACGGGUGAGUAACGCGUGGGUAACCUGCCCUGUACAGGGGGAUAACAGUCAGAAAUGACUGCUAAUACCGCAUAAGACCACAGCACCGCAUGGUGCAGGGGUAAAAACUCCGGUGGUACAGGAUGGACCCGCGUCUGAUUAGCUGGUUGGUGAGGUAACGGCUCACCAAGGCGACGAUCAGUAGCCGGCUUGAGAGAGUGAACGGCCACAUUGGGACUGAGACACGGCCCAAACUCCUACGGGAGGCAGCAGUGGGGAAUAUUGCACAAUGGGGGAAACCCUGAUGCAGCGACGCCGCGUGAGUGAAGAAGUAUCUCGGUAUGUAAAGCUCUAUCAGCAGGGAAGAAAAUGACGGUACC
This 453-nucleotide ribosomal RNA is filed under the name uncultured bacterium. RNAcentral's name for it is "bacterial SSU rRNA". It matches the Rfam family "Bacterial small subunit ribosomal RNA", at positions 28 to 479 of the family's 1533-position model. The record is from RNAcentral.